RNAcentral lists this ribosomal RNA (393 nucleotides) under uncultured bacterium. Its description in RNAcentral is "bacterial SSU rRNA". It matches the Rfam family "Bacterial small subunit ribosomal RNA", at positions 1045 to 1437 of the family's 1533-position model. The record is from RNAcentral.
AUGGCUGUCGUCAGCUCGUGUCGUGAGAUGUCGGGUUAAGUCCCUUAACGAGCGAAACCCUUAUCUUUAUUUGCCAGCGCGUAAUGGCGGGGACUCUAAAGAGACUGCCGGUGACAAACCGGAGGAAGGUGGGGAUGACGUCAAGUCCUCAUGGCCUUUAUGACCAGGGCUGCACACGUGCUACAAUGCGUUGUACAAAGGGAAGCUAGAUCGUGAGAUGGAGCUAACCCCAAAAAGCAGCUCUCAGUUCGGAUUGCAGGCUGAAAUUCGACUGCAUGAAGCUGGAAUCGCUAGUAAUCGUAGGUCAGAAUGCUACGGUGAAUGCGUUCCUGAGCCUUGUACACACCGCCCGUGGGGCGGGGGCGGCGGGCCGGGCGCGGGGCGCGGCGGGCG